This 440-nucleotide ribosomal RNA is filed under the name uncultured bacterium. Its description in RNAcentral is "partial 16S ribosomal RNA". It matches the Rfam family "Bacterial small subunit ribosomal RNA", at positions 338 to 795 of the family's 1533-position model. The record is from RNAcentral.
CCUACGGGAGUCAGCAGUGGGGGAUAUUGCACAAUGGGGGAAACCCUGAUGCAGCGACGCCGCGUGGGUGAAGAAGCGCCUCGGCGCGUACAGCCCUGUCAGCAGGGAAGAAAAUGACGGUACCUGAAGAAGAAGCCCCGGCUAACUACGUGCCAGCAGCCGCGGUAAUACGUAGGGGGCAAGCGUUAUCCGGAUUUACUGGGUGUAAAGGGGGCGCAGACGGCGAUGCAAGCAAGGAGUGAAAGCCCGGGGCCCAACCCCGGGACUGCACUUGGAACUGCGUGGCUAGAGUGCAGGAGGGGCAGGCGGAAUUCCUGGUGUAGCGGUGAAAUGCGUAGAUAUCAGGAGGAACACCGGUGGCGAAGGCGGCCUGCUGGACUGCAACUGACGUUGAGGCCCGAAAGCGUGGGGAGCAAACAGGAUUAGAUACCCUGGUAGUC